RNAcentral lists this long non-coding RNA (228 nucleotides) under Homo sapiens (human). RNAcentral's name for it is "HSALNT0337727". The record is from RNAcentral. Lineage: Eukaryota; Metazoa; Chordata; Mammalia; Primates; Hominidae.
CUCAGGAUAAAUUCUCAGAAUUUAAAUUGUGAGGUCAUAGGGCAUGCGUAUUUUUAAGGCUUGAUAGGUCCUACCCACAUGGCUCUCUGAGGAGCUGUGCGAGUUUACCUUCGACGAUGGCCCACAGAAACGUAGUGAUGGUGGCUGGCUUUUUAAAGAAGUGAAGGUGGUACCUUGAAAACUAAGUGAUACAUGAUCAUUCAAGCUGAAAGUGUCGAUGGUUUGCUG